UGCGGGAGCCCGGGAACCCGGAGAGACCCCCGACCGCGUCUCCUGCACUCGCCUGCGCUUUCCCUGUCGCUUCGCGGUUCAGGGAUCUGAGUCACCCCGCGACAGCCCCGCCAGGUCACCCCGGGGCGUGUAGGUGGGCACGCACAGGAAGAUCGCUAUUUUUAACAUUUCCAUAUUGUUUACCGUGGGAUGAAAUCCCACAAUUCCUUGCACAAAAUGCAUAAAUAAUAUUAAAUGAGCUGCCGAGAUACAAAGGGACUUUUGUGGUCCGCUUUCCUUGCUGAUGGAGAGGAAUAGUGUCACUCCCAUUUGACUCGGUAACCCGGCAGCUUCCUGUCUUAAACGCAGAGCUGGCGCGCAGGACACUCCUCCUGCAGACACUUAUUACACAAGUUCAGCUGCACCUCGUGCAAAACAGCCCUGAAAGCUCAGGCUUGAAGACGAAAUGUGGAGCCCAGGCUCCUUCGAUUGAAAACCUCGCUACGAGGACACUCUCCGCAGUCGCCGGCCAGAAAGGAUUUCGGAUCAAGAUCCGCAGAGUGGUGAGCAACUCCCAGGGUCCGAGGCUGAGCUGACUGCAGGCUGGUAGCCCUUCUGCCCGUAGGAGAAUCUCCUUUCUGCAGAAACUACUCCUGGAAAACAAAACCGAGUGAAAAGAAGGGCAAUGCGGGUCUGCGCGGAGGGGAGCUUCCUCCCCGGGGAAAGAGGCGCCUCGCGCUGGCUGACUCGCCGGUGGGGUGCAGGUAGGGGCAGACUAGGGUGAGAAGGGGGGAUCGCGGAACACGGGUCCCCCGCGGGUCCGAGGGACAGGGUGCAGGCGCAUUCCAGGCACCUACGGCAGUCCCAUCUGCUCUGAGGAGCGGGAGCCGGCCCCGGGCUCUCCACAUCUCCCGGGAAUCCAGAAGCUGGACUGCGGGGCAGUUGUAUCGGUGGGGGAGCCCCUAGCUGGAUUUUCCUUCCGCUUGCUCCCUUUAUCGAGUGUCCACGCCCGGCAGGAGCUGGCUGUGUGCCGCCAGGGGUGGGUGGAGGUGCGUGGGGCGCGGGCCUUGGCUCACUCACUUGGGUGUGUCCCAGUCUUUUUCCUCCAGAAUUAGAGGCCUCUGCAGGGGGCAGAGCCCCUCGCCCUCUCUCCUAACUCUCCUCCCCACCUCGACACGGCCUGAGCUAAGAUGUGGGGAGCUUCCAGGGCUGUAUCCCUAGGAGGCCCCGAGCACUUUUCCUCCGACGGUCGAGGAAAUCAGGUCCCUUCUCUCUCCCUAGCGCCCUCUGAGGAAGCCGCGAACCUCUGGGCGAGCAUGGUUUUACUGGGGAUUCCCAGAGACCGGCCCUGUGCCCAGCGACGCCCGGAGGGGAGAGGGAGCUCUUUGGAGGGGCGGUGUGGGGGUGGGUGUCUACACUGCGUCCUCUGGCUCGGAGCAGGACCCGGUGAUGCGCCCUGGCCGAGCUCCUGUCUCCUAGGGAUGGAGGGGACUCGGGCCCUGUCGGGACCCUUCGACAAGGAAGGCCCGGGGAAGCCUGGAUCCAACAGGCACCGGGAUCCAGGAGGCAGACUCCUUGGUUCCGAACGGUUCUUCCGGAGCGAAAACUUGCUCCCCGUUCCCCCAAGUCCCUCGCAGGCUGGGAGGUGAAGGGAGGGACAGAAGCUGGGCCUCCUCCGCAGCGCCCAACACCCUGGGCUCUCCGGGCCCCGGGACUCGGCUCGGGUGCGUGGAGGGACGGCCUGGAGCGCAGAUUUGUGAAUGAACCUCGGAGCUCUUUGCAGCUCACAGAUCAGAGGCUGCGAUCGCCCCACCGACGUGGUCCAAUGAGCCGCUGCAAUAAGCGCUUAGCGACGAAGCUGGGGCACGGCCUGGACUCUGCGGCUCCGCGCUGCGCGGGGCCGGACGGGGGAGGGGCCCAGCCACUGCAGCAACUUCAAAGCCGGUGUCGGGACUCAGCGAUGGGUGGGCUCUCCCCGGGCCGCACGGUUCGCAGGGGCCUCCCCUAACCCCCACCGCCACCCCGCCGAAACGCCCAGAGGCGUUCCCAGCCCAAGUGAUACGUGACUCUGACUCCCGGUUGUCUUCGCGCCCUCCGCUCGCGCGUCCUUGGCGUCUCCCCCGGGACCCGGGGGGCGAUCACAUCCUGAGACCUAAUCCGGUUACUUCCGGGCGCGGGUCUCCACCGCCUCCCGGGCUGGUUGGACUCACUUCCUAAGUAGCUGUCUCAUUGACAGCUCCCGCGCCGCCAGUUCCUCUUUCAAAAUUCAAGUCUUCGGCUGCCUCCCUGAGGUUCUGCGUGCGAAGGGAGGGGAGGGGAGGAAGGAGCAGACACCCACGUGUGCCCGGGAGGGACCCACACAGACUCCCCGCUCCCGCAGCAGAGGCCCUGGGCCCCCUCUUCAGAGGGAAAUCGAUGAGCAGACACUAAGCGACGCGAGUCCCGGCCCCUUCCCCGCCGGGGGAUCUCCGUGCGUUCCAGAAGCGCACCUGGAAGCAAUUCUCCUAGCGUAACCGUCGCCUCCUAAGCCUCUCCAGCAUCUUCACGUCUCCUAAGCAUCUGCACGUUUCUGCGCUGUUUUCUGGAGGACCUCGGAGAGGCGGAGGGGACGAUGGGGUGCCGUGGGGGCAGGGAAGGAGAGAGGUCAGGGGUUACGCAGGAUUACGGCUCGGCUCGGUGACCCCUCUCAUCUUCCGUGGCCCAGGGAGGGGAUCUGUAGCGAGGGGUCCGGACCUCUUUUGCAAAACCGAAUUCUAGGGUAGGGCUUGCGUCCCGUGAAGCACCGGUGAAGUCCAAAUGAAGAACGCCGGCGAGCGGCCGGGAGCGGAAGAGAGCAGGUUCUAGGCGCCCCGGAGGGAAGAGGGGCAUGCAUCCCCAGUGACCACGGCUCGAGGUGGCGUGUCUGCUCCGCACCCGACUACAACCAACCCGGCCUGCGCCCCUCCACGCUUGAACAGGGCGGGUCCACCCGGGCGGCGAGCUCCGCGGGCGCAGCGCAGCCUCAGCCCCGCGCCUCCCUCCCGCUUGCUGGGGAAGAGGUGGGAAGCCCUCUCCGCCGCACCCUGGCUCCCACCGCAGGCCUCCGUGAAUAAACUCUCUCAGGGGGACUGUACUGUCCCCCAUCCUCUGUCCCAGCCUCAAGAGGGACUUCCUGAAAAUAUGGCAGCCAAGAAUAGGGUGAAAAUGUGAGACUGAGGUUUCCUUCUCCACCUCCCCCUGCCCCCUGCCCCUUCACCUCCCCACUUCCCACCAGCCCAAAGGGGUCCAGCUGUAACCACCACCACCGCCACCGCCACCUCUACCGUGCUUACGACUGUCACCAUUUCCUUCCAGCUCCAGCUGUCUCUUGGACGCCUCCACUGGAAGGCCGACGGGCAUCUUCAAUUUCACGUGUUCACUUCAGAGCACCCCUGAGCCGGCUACCCCUGCUCCCCUGAUCUGCGCCUUCCCAGUUUCUCCCAGUCACCCAGCUGGCCACCGCGCAGGAGACAUCCCUGAUCCUUCAUUUUCUCUCUGGAGUCACCCCCUGUCAAUUAGCAAGGCCUGUUGGCUCUGCCUCCACAUCUGUUCCACAGCUCCCCCAAACUCCUCCGUCCUCCACUAGCCCCCAAGCCCUUUCCCCUGCGCCUGCAGGGUUGCAUGGCCUCUUAACCAGCUCUCCACCUCACACGUGUGCCCUGUGGUUCACUGUUCUCCAUACAACAGAGUAAGCUUCAGCUCAGACCUAUCCUUGGUCAAAACCAGUGGUUUCCACGUGCACUGAGAAUUAGACGCAUUCUUACAAUGUCCUUCAAGGCACCAUGAAAUCCACCCACCACUUCCCUUACCUGAGGUUCUAAGUCUAGUUUUGCCAGUUCUUGAGCCUCCAAGCCAUGGCCACCUCAGGGGAGUUCUUUUCCUUUGGUCCUGGCUCUUUAUUCAUCUGGUACAUUCUUUCUGUGCAUCUUUGGGCACAGACUGUCCCCCAGAGAAAGGUCAUACGAUCUAAAAUGACUCCCUAAUCCAGUUGUGUUCUCCACAGCACUUAUGGCUACUUGCGGUUGUAAAUGUGUUGGUGCGUUUUUUAUUGGUCUCUUAUCUAGAACGUACCUUCCAGAGGGCAGGGCCUUGUCAUCUUCCUGGCUGUACCCCCAGUCCUGCUAAGGGACUGGCAUACAGUAACAUGAAGCCAGUGCUCUCAGACUUUCUGGUCACAGGACUGCUUUAUGCUCUUAGAAAUUACUGAGCCCCCGAAAGAGCUUAUGUAUAUAGCAACAGAUAGAUUUAGACGUCUAACCAGUGAUUUGCACAGUAUUAGAGAUUGAAAUGGUAAUGUUUUAAAUAUAUUGAUUAAUUGAUUCAUUUACAAUGAUAAUAAAAACCCACUUCAUGUUUACUUAACAUAUUUUAAUGAACAUUUAUUCUAUUCCCCCAAGCAAAAAAAAAUAGUCUGAAGAGUGGUCUACAUUUUUGUACCGCUCUUUAAUAUCUGGCUUAAUUAAUAGAAGAUAGUUGGAUUCUCAUUUUUCCUUGUGCCACCCGUUAUUUUGGUUCAGGUAUAUGAAGAAAGUGCAGUCUGUCACAGAUACGUAGUUGAAAACUGGAGGAGUAUUUUUCAGCCUUGGCAGAUAAUUGUGGAUAUUUUUCCUUGAUAUUACCCCAAAAUUCAACAAAUGGUGGUUUCUUAAAGGUUGGUUGCAAUGUGGAAUCUGAAACCAUGUCAAUGAACAUUUCAUACUCUAUUACAUUAAAAUCCAUUGAUCUAUCUUG
This is a long non-coding RNA of Macaca mulatta (Rhesus monkey), 4728 nucleotides long. RefSeq lists it as uncharacterized. The record is from RefSeq and is a predicted model, not a curated record. Lineage: Eukaryota; Metazoa; Chordata; Mammalia; Primates; Cercopithecidae.